CCAGCACUACCUUCUUCUGCAGGUUGGAAGACAAGCUUGACAGUACCCUUUAAUUCAUCCUUCCCGCGUUGAAGUAACUUUGCUGCUCCAAGCAGCAUUGUGACAUGAGCGUCAUGGCCACAAGCGUGCAUUUUGCCAUUGUUCUUGCUCUUGUACUCCCACUCCACCAAUUCCUGGAUGGGAAGGGCGUCCAUGUCUGCUCUAAGACCGAACCAUGGCUCCAUCCCUGACCCAAUCGAACCCACCACCCCAGUCUUCGCGAUAGGCCAAAUAUACUCAAUUCCAAGCGACUGAAGCUCCGAUCUUAUGAUUUCACUCGUGUUGUAUUCUUCAAAGGCCAGCUCUGGGUACUCAUGGAUUUUCCUCCUAACCCUUUUUAACCAAUCGAAGAACUCGGGCUCUCUCGCGGAAUCCAGCAGCUCCCGAGUUAGAGAACUCAGCUUAGAUUCCGAACGAGUCACCGGAGCCGAUAUUGGGUAACAUGUAGGUAGGAUGAUUAAGAAGGAAAGGCACUUGAAUGGAAUUAGAAAGCGAAAGAAAGGUUUUUUCAUUUUUUUGACUGCUUUUUC
This 569-nucleotide unclassified non-coding RNA is filed under the name Hevea brasiliensis (rubber tree). The record is from RNAcentral. Lineage: Eukaryota; Viridiplantae; Streptophyta; Magnoliopsida; Malpighiales; Euphorbiaceae.